RNAcentral lists this long non-coding RNA (784 nucleotides) under Oryctolagus cuniculus (rabbit). Its description in RNAcentral is "lncRNA (ENSOCUG00000036892.1)". The record is from RNAcentral. Lineage: Eukaryota; Metazoa; Chordata; Mammalia; Lagomorpha; Leporidae.
AUGUCAGGGACACUGACUAAUGUCCCGGCUCCAACCCUGCAGCCGGCGGUGGCAUCGGACUCUUUAAGACGCUUCAUUGUGAUAACGCACACAUUCCAGGUUAGCCUUCUUUCCGUUCACUCUGCCCUGCCCCGCCCCACCCCACCCUUUGCCACCUUUGCCGGCCUCCCCUGUCCUACUCCUAGCCGCUCCUUCCUUUCCUUUCAGAUUGCACAGCGCCUGGUUACCCUGAAGGCACAGUGGCUGCCCUACCUUGCGCACCAGUCGGUGCCAACGUUCUUCCUGCCGAUAAACUGCACCUGCUGCUCUCUGCGAGCACUCAGGGUCUCCAGGCCUUGGGGUCCUCUCUCCCCGCAGCUCAGCUGUUCCAAGGGCAGCAGGCAGCAAGCACGAAGCGCUCAGGAGGUGUUGGGAAGAUGGCGCUGACCCUGACUUUCCCGAUGCCUCCCUCGAGCCAAGAGCAGCCUGGUUCCUUCUCACCUCCGUUCCUCCUGCUUCAACGCCAUCGGGACCGCCCUCGGGACCCACUCACACCAUGAGAUCCUUCACCAAAUGGUCCUCACCCGCCCUGUGGCUCCACCUCCCCCCGCCUUUCACGCAUCUCUGCAGCCCUGCCCCAGCACGAGUCACUCACGAAGGCCUGUGGAUCGCAGGUGCUCCCUGUUGUCAGCUCCUGGCCUUUCAUGCCCCUCCGAGGCCACCUCCCGCCUCCGUCCUUUCUCUCCGCUUCUUCCCUCUGUGUCAAGCUUGGCACAGGUGUGACUUCCUGGAGGCAGCCCUUCCU